RNAcentral lists this ribosomal RNA (341 nucleotides) under uncultured Lactococcus sp. RNAcentral describes it as "bacterial SSU rRNA". It matches the Rfam family "Bacterial small subunit ribosomal RNA", at positions 1055 to 1397 of the family's 1533-position model. Lineage: Bacteria; Bacillati; Bacillota; Bacilli; Lactobacillales; Streptococcaceae. The record is from RNAcentral.
UCAUCUCUUGUCGNGAGAUGUUGGGUUAAGUCCCGCAACCAGCGCAACCCUUGUCCUUAGUUACCAUCAUUUAGUUGGGCACUCUAUUGAGACUGCCGGUGACAAACCGGAGGAAAGUGGGGAUGACAUCAAAUCAUCAUGCCCCUUAUGACCUGGGCUACACACGUGCUACAAUGGGNGGUACANAGAGUGGCCAAACCGCGAGGGGGAGCUAAUCUCUCAAAACCCNUCUCAGUUCGGAUUGCACGCUGCAACUCUCCUGCAUGAAGUCGGAAUCGCUAGUAAUCUCGGAUCAGCACGCCGCGGUGAAUACAUUCCCGGGUCUUGUACACACCGAGAAA